Molecule: non-coding RNA, 339 nt
Organism: Rattus norvegicus (Norway rat)
Lineage: Eukaryota; Metazoa; Chordata; Mammalia; Rodentia; Muridae
Source: Rfam
AGAGGUAAGGUUAAUUUGGUCUUAACAUCUGUCACCCCAUUGAUUAUCAGAGUGUACCUGACUAAUCUUGGUGGCUAAUCCAGAGGUCCCCUCCUCCCUAUCUCCUCUAUACAUGUCUCUUCUGAGCUAUAUACUGGUUAGGACAGGAUGGCUUUCCCUCAUAAGGAAGACAGUUAUUUAGGGAAGAAUAUGUGAAUACCUGCACUCUUCCCAAACAUCCUGAAUUCUCUUGAAAUAAUGACCUGUUUCUAUCUGAAUAGACACUUAGACAUAUGGGGAAGGAUCCCCAAUAAUUUGAGAUCAAUUGGUUCAUUGCUACAUUGUAGUCUCUUGGUUGGC